Molecule: ribosomal RNA, 497 nt
Filed under: uncultured bacterium
Lineage: Bacteria
Description: partial 16S ribosomal RNA
Rfam family: Bacterial small subunit ribosomal RNA
Source: RNAcentral
GAUGAACGCUGGCGGCGUGCCUAAUACAUGCAAGUCGAGCGAACGGACGAGAAGCUUGCUUCUCUGAUGUUAGCGGCGGACGGGUGAGUAACACGUGGAUAACCUACCUAUAAGACUGGGAUAACUUCGGGAAACCGGAGCUAAUACCGGAUGAUAUUUUGAACCGCAUGGUUCAAAAGUGAAAGACGGUCUUGCUGUCACUUAUAGAUGGAUCCGCGCUGCAUUAGCUAGUUGGUAAGGUAACGGCUUACCAAGGCAACGAUGCAUAGCCGACCUGAGAGGGUGAUCGGCCACACUGGAACUGAGACACGGUCCAGACUCCUACGGGAGGCAGCAGUAGGGAAUCUUCCGCAAUGGGCGAAAGCCUGACGGAGCAACGCCGCGUGAGUGAUGAAGGUCUUCGGAUCGUAAAACUCUGUUAUUAGGGAAGAACAUAUGUGGAAGUAACUGUGCACAUCUUGACGGUACCUAAUCAGAAAGCCACGGCUAACUACGUG